GGAGUCUGGUCCGUGUCUCAGUACCAGUGUGGGGGACCUUCCUCUCAGAACCCCUAACGAUCGUUGGCCAGGUGGGCCGUUACCCCGCCUGCUGCCUAAUCGUACGCAUCCCCAUCCAUCGGCGACCGAAGUCUUUCGUGAAAAUCAGAGGCCUUCUUCUCACAACAUCAGGUAUUAGGCUCCCUUUCGGAAGGUUAUCCCUGACCCAUGGGCAGGUUGGAUACGCGUUACUCACCCGUGCGCCGGUCGUCAUCAGCAGGAGCAAGCUCCCGCCAUGUUACCCCUCGACUUGCAUGUGUUAAGCCUGUAGCUAGCGUUCAUC
This 322-nucleotide ribosomal RNA is filed under the name uncultured Prevotella sp. RNAcentral describes it as "partial 16S ribosomal RNA". The record is from RNAcentral. Lineage: Bacteria; Pseudomonadati; Bacteroidota; Bacteroidia; Bacteroidales; Prevotellaceae.